GAUGAACGCUGGCGGCGUGCCUAAUACAUGCAAGUCGAGCGAACAGACGCGGAGCUUGCUCCGCUGACGUUAGCGGCGGACGGGUGAGUAACGCGUGGAUAACCUACCUAUAAGACUGGGAUAACUUCGGGACACCGGAGCUAAUACCGGAUAAUAUAUUGAACCGCGUGGUUCAAUGGUGAAAGACGGUUUUUCCGGCGCUUAUGGAUGGAUCCGCGCCGCAUUAGCUAGUUGGUGGGGUAGCGGCUUACCAAGGGUACGAUGCGUAGCCGGCCUGAGAGGGUGACCGGCCACAUUGGGACAGGGGUGCGGCCAGGAGGCAUACGGGAGGAAGGGGUGGAGACUAGUGGACGAUGCGCGGCGGGAUGAUGCAGGAUCUCCGCGUGCGAAAUCACGGCUUUCGGGGAGUAAAAAACUUUCACGUGUCAAGGCGCGUCUGGAAGGGAACUAAGUAAAAAAGCACCGCCUAACUACGU
RNAcentral lists this ribosomal RNA (476 nucleotides) under uncultured bacterium. Its description in RNAcentral is "partial 16S ribosomal RNA". It matches the Rfam family "Bacterial small subunit ribosomal RNA", at positions 28 to 506 of the family's 1533-position model. The record is from RNAcentral.